Molecule: long non-coding RNA, 1322 nt
Organism: Salvia splendens (bonfire salvia)
Lineage: Eukaryota; Viridiplantae; Streptophyta; Magnoliopsida; Lamiales; Lamiaceae
Exons: 3
Source: RefSeq, a predicted model, not a curated record
CCAAACUAUACUCCCUUCCCACUGUCGGCAAUCUCCACUCCCUCACUUCGACUUCCCCAAAAUUAGAUCCCAAAAAAAAGAAAUCCCAAAUCCCUAAUUCUCGCCAACUUCCACCUCCGCCAUACUACCGCCGGACGUCACUCCCGUGCACACCAUUGCCGUCGCCAGUUCGGACAGCAGCCGUCCCAGCCGUGUGCUUCCGUCGCUGUUGUGGGAUCGCUAGACCCGCCAUCGCUGCUGUGGAAUCGCCGGGUCAGCCUUCGCCGCUGCUGUUGCUCGAGUGGCUCGUCAGUGUCGGCCGUUCGUGGGUCCGUCUUCGCUACCACCGCCAGCGCCCGUGCCUCGACGGGUCAGGUUGCUGUCCGGCAGAGGCUUGAUUCACCCCGGAACAGCUCCGACACCCACCCGAACAACCCCGAAACACUCCGAAAGAUAAGGGACUCAUAAAGGGGAGUUGGGUGUUACUUCUUGAAAGAGGUAGUUCUCAAUUUUCAGCUUCCAAAACCUCAAAGUUCACACCUCAUCUCAAAAGAAUCUAGUUGCAGUGAAAGGGAAAGGGUGAGCUUGAGCUGAGUGUGAAAACAUGUGGGAAAGGGAAGGGAAGAGGAGAAAUUACCUAUGGAAAGCAGGGCUGCCUGUGAGAAAUCUGCAGAGCUCUACUCCAAGCUCUCCCUCACUUUCAAUUUGCUAUUGUGGCUGGGGAACGAAGUGUGAAUGAAGGGAGUUUUGAAGGUGGUAUGGGGGUUCUUAUAGGCUGAUCUUGGUGUACUUUGGGAGGAGUAAAUGGGGCUGCCUGGACUCUUGUUUUCAUGUUGCAGGAGAUCUCCUUUUUUUUUUAUUCUUACCACUUUUAAUUAAGGAAAAAUUUGUUUUAUGCUUAGGCCCAUGUCUCCCUACAUUAAUGUGCUUUGUCUGGUUUUAUAUAGUGUAUCAAAGAGGAUGUAAGGGCUGCCUUGAGGGGGAGGAGUUGCAGGCAUUUGACUUGCCCCUUUGGGUGGAACAAUAAUUUGGCUGUCAUACUGCUACCCGUGACAUGGGCUCACUGCCCCGGGCCCAACGGGCUGAUCGGGUAGGGCCGCGGUGAGGAUGUGGUUUGGGCUCUGGAGAAAGAGGCCCAAAGUAUAGCUAAUAGAAGCUUUUAGUUUCUUAGUCUCCUUGGCUCAUUCUUGAACAAAUUUUUUUGGUAAUAGUAUAGUAUUCCAUUUAGAUUAAUUGUAUUAUUCGAGAUGUAUACGAACAUUUUAGUUCGGGGAGAAUGACUUCAUAUCCUUGUACAACGUUCAUGUAUUUCAUAACAUACAUUAGUUCGAUUAUCACUUUAA